AUUUUGCGUCAGUCGUACUCAGACCGCAUCACCACGAGGUCUUCUUCAGCGGGCCCCACCAUGCCUCGGUCGCUUUUGCUAUUACUACUGCUUCUGUUACCUUCCCUGGGCCAUCCCGCGGCGCUACUUCCCCAGGGGUCCGUCACCACGCUGAACCGAGGCCCUGUCCCUCUUGUGGCCCCGUCAGAAGGCCGUAAGCUGCGGCGUGCUCUUAAAAUACUACUUCAGCUGAAUGAUUCUACUUUAGCUUCACUCGCUGCCUCUUCUCAAGCAUCCUGGCAGGGCGUAGACAGGCUCAGUGACCUUCUCGCCGCCCCUGUCUGGUCCACGGCACCCCUGGCACCUUCCGGAACUCUGUCACCCCAGCCGCAGCAGCCAGUAGCCAGCGCCCCCGUCAGGAGAAGGAGAAGGGCCUCCGGAACACGUCGCUACCAUCCUAGACGUUACUUGUAUUUUCUUAGUGCUGGAGAAUGUCCCCAAGCACCAGACGGCAGGCCACGUAUGUACUGCCCAACGCGCGAGUCUGACGGUCCCUGGGUGUGCGUCGACGAAGAAGAACUCUGCGACGGGGUGGAUCACUGCCCGGGAGGUGAAGAUGAAGAAGCCACUCACUGUCUCUUCCAUACCGCUAUGCGUGGCCACAUGGAUAUCUUAACUAAGUACGUGAUGUUAUCCAAACUUACCUGAGUGUGAUUCACUAACACCACACCUGCUGAACACACCUGUAACCCCUCUGUGUGUGUGUGUGUGUGUGUGUGUGUGUGUGUGUGUGUGUGUGUGUGUGUGUGUGUGUGUGUGUGUGUGUGUGUGUGUGUGUGUGUACGUGUGUAUGAAUGUUAGUAUGUAAGGUACACACACACACACACAUACACAUACGCACACACACACACACACACACACACACAUACAUGAAGGUCUGACUAGCUUGUAUAUAUAUAAUUACAAUAACUAUCAUUACUAUUAUUAUUAUUAUUAUUAUUAUUAUUAUUAUUAUUAUUAUUAUUAUUAUUACUAUUUAUUCAGUUACGUGCGUAUGUCUGUAUGUAUGUAUGUAUGUUUAUUUCUACUAUUUUUUGUACCUGUG
Scylla paramamosain (green mud crab) is the source of this 1084-nucleotide long non-coding RNA. RefSeq lists it as uncharacterized. NCBI's taxonomy places the organism in Eukaryota, Metazoa, Arthropoda, Malacostraca, Decapoda, Portunidae. The transcript is spliced from 3 exons. The record is from RefSeq and is a predicted model, not a curated record.